This 368-nucleotide ribosomal RNA is filed under the name uncultured bacterium. RNAcentral's name for it is "partial 16S ribosomal RNA". It matches the Rfam family "Bacterial small subunit ribosomal RNA", at positions 338 to 723 of the family's 1533-position model. The record is from RNAcentral.
CCUACGGGAGGCAGCAGUAGGGAAUCUUGCUCAAUGGGGGAAACCCUGACGCAGCAACGCCGCGUGGAGGAUGAAGGUUUUCGGAUUGUAAACUCCUUUUGUUAGAGAAGAUCAUGCAGGUUUCUAACGAAUAAGCACCGGCUAACUCCGUGCCAGCAGCCGCGGUAAUACGGAGGGGGCAAGCGGUAGUCGGAACCACUGGGCGGAACGGGGGCGGAGGCGGGUUAUCAAGUCAGAUGGGAAAUCCUAUGGAUUAACCAGAGAACGGGAUUUGAUACUGUUAGUCUAGAGUAUGGGAGAGGGAGGUGGAAUGCUUGGGGGAGGGGUGAAAUGCGUAGAGAUAAAGAGGAACACUAGUGGCGAAGGCG